This 666-nucleotide ribosomal RNA is filed under the name Rhodococcus ruber. RNAcentral describes it as "bacterial SSU rRNA". It matches the Rfam family "Bacterial small subunit ribosomal RNA", at positions 53 to 733 of the family's 1533-position model. Lineage: Bacteria; Bacillati; Actinomycetota; Actinomycetes; Mycobacteriales; Nocardiaceae. The record is from RNAcentral.
ACAUGCAGUCGAACGAUGAAGCCCAGCUUGCUGGGUGGAUUAGUGGCGAACGGGUGAGUAACACGUGGGUGAUCUGCCCUGCACUUCGGGAUAAGCCUGGGAAACUGGGUCUAAUACCGGAUAGGACCUCGGGAUGCAUGUUCCGGGGUGGAAAGGUUUUCCGGUGCAGGAUGGGCCCGCGGCCUAUCAGCUUGUUGGUGGGGUAACGGCCCACCAAGGCGACGACGGGUAGCCGGCCUGAGAGGGCGACCGGCCACACUGGGACUGAGACACGGCCCAGACUCCUACGGGAGGCAGCAGUGGGGAAUAUUGCACAAUGGGCGCAAGCCUGAUGCAGCGACGCCGCGUGAGGGAUGACGGCCUUCGGGUUGUAAACCUCUUUCAGUACCGACGAAGCGCAAGUGACGGUAGGUACAGAAGAAGCACCGGCCAACUACGUGCCAGCAGCCGCGGUAAUACGUAGGGUGCGAGCGUUGUCCGGAAUUACUGGGCGUAAAGAGCUCGUAGGCGGUUUGUCGCGUCGUCUGUGAAAACCCGCAGCUCAACUGCGGGCUUGCAGGCGAUACGGGCAGACUUGAGUACUGCAGGGGAGACUGGAAUUCCUGGUGUAGCGGUGAAAUGCGCAGAUAUCAGGAGGAACACCGGUGGCGAAGGCGGGUCUCUGGG